GUUGUAGCUCAAGUGGUUGAUUCC
RNAcentral lists this non-coding RNA (24 nucleotides) under Arabidopsis thaliana (thale cress). Lineage: Eukaryota; Viridiplantae; Streptophyta; Magnoliopsida; Brassicales; Brassicaceae. The record is from RNAcentral.